GGGGAUGACAGGUCUCGACGGGGAGGGCUGGCUCGAGACUGCAAGCAGAGGUGCCUCCACCUCGUAAAACAGGGGCAAACAAUAAGUGCCAAUACAGCACGAACACCGGCGUAUGCUUACGCCAUGGCUGCGUAAAGCAAUCUAGCGUAAGCGCACGCUUUGGCCACUAAGAAUGGCCACGUCCAUCCCCCUCUCGCUGCCGGUGGAGUGGGAUUGGGCGUCAUAGGAACCGGAGUGCAGCUGCCUCCAUGCUGAUAAAGGCAGCCUAAGACCCUCCAACGAGGGAUCAGCUGGCUCCAGAGCAACUCUGUCGGUUGAGGUGCAUGGAGCGAGAGCAAAAAACCGACUAAGCUUGUAGGAUGUCUCCAGCCGAACUCUUCGGACGCGGGUUCGAUUCCCGCCAUCUCCACUG
RNAcentral lists this transfer-messenger RNA (412 nucleotides) under Anaerolineae. Its description in RNAcentral is "JACIWX01 sp014360905 Standard tmRNA". It matches the Rfam family "transfer-messenger RNA". From Rfam's summary of the family: Bacterial tmRNA, also known as 10Sa RNA or SsrA, is named for its dual tRNA and mRNA-like properties. Its role is to liberate the mRNA from a stalled ribosome. Lineage: Bacteria; Bacillati; Chloroflexota. The record is from RNAcentral. RNAcentral also lists the same sequence under 1 other name.